CGCACGGGUGAGUAACACGUGAGUGACCUGCCUUUUAGACUGGAACAACUUACCGAAAGGUGAGCUAAUGCCGGAUGAGUUAUAUAAGUGCAUGUUUAUAUAGGAAAAGUUGGGGAGACCUGACGCUGAAAGAUGGACUCGCGUCCCAUUAGCUAGUUGGUAGGGUAAUGGCCUACCAAGGCGACGAUGGGUAGCCGGCCUGAGAGGGUGGCCCGGCCACACUGGGACUGAGACACGGCCCAAACUCCUACGGAAGGCAGCAG
RNAcentral lists this ribosomal RNA (263 nucleotides) under uncultured bacterium. RNAcentral describes it as "partial 16S ribosomal RNA". It matches the Rfam family "Bacterial small subunit ribosomal RNA", at positions 99 to 354 of the family's 1533-position model. The record is from RNAcentral.